AAAUUGAAGAGUUUGAUCAUGGCUCAGAUUGAACGCUGGCGGCAGGCCUAACACAUGCAAGUCGAACGGUAACAGGAAGCAGCUUGCUGCUUUGCUGACGAGUGGCGGACGGGUGAGUAAUGUCUGGGAAACUGCCUGAUGGAGGGGGAUAACUACUGGAAACGGUGGCUAAUACCGCAUAACGUCGCAAGACCAAAGAGGGGGACCUUCGGGCCUCUUGCCAUCAGAUGUGCCCAGAUGGGAUUAGCUWGUUGGUGAGGUAACGGCUCACCAAGGCGACGAUCCCUAGCUGGUCUGAGAGGAUGACCAGCCACACUGGAACUGAGACACGGUCCAGACUCCUACGGGAGGCAGCAGUGGGGAAUAUUGCACAAUGGGCGCAAGCCUGAUGCAGCCAUGCCGCGUGUAUGAAGAAGGCCUUCGGGUUGUAAAGUACUUUCAGCGGGGAGGAAGGUGUUGUGGUUAAUAAC
RNAcentral lists this ribosomal RNA (470 nucleotides) under Salmonella enterica subsp. enterica serovar Infantis. RNAcentral's name for it is "bacterial SSU rRNA". The record is from RNAcentral. Lineage: Bacteria; Pseudomonadati; Pseudomonadota; Gammaproteobacteria; Enterobacterales; Enterobacteriaceae.